This 1108-nucleotide ribosomal RNA is filed under the name Pseudomonadota bacterium. RNAcentral's name for it is "Bacterial small subunit ribosomal RNA". It matches the Rfam family "Bacterial small subunit ribosomal RNA", at positions 282 to 1403 of the family's 1533-position model. The record is from Rfam by way of RNAcentral. Lineage: Bacteria; Pseudomonadati; Pseudomonadota.
GGUAGCGGGUCUGAGAGGAUGAUCCGCCCGAGUGGGACUGAGACACGGCCCACACACCUACGGGUGGCAGCAGUUGGGAAUCUUGCACAAUGGGGGAAACCCUGAUGCAGCGACGCCGCGUGGAGGAUGAAGGGUCUAGGCCUGUAAACUCCUUUUACCGGGAAAGACUUAGGACGGUACCCGGGGAAUAAGGACCGGCUAACUACGUGCCAGCAGCCGCGGUAAGACGUAGGGUCCAAGCGUUGUCCGGAUUUACUGGGCGUAAAGAGCGCGUAGGCGGUCCGUUAAGUGUAGAGUGAAAGCUCCGGGCUCAACUCGGAAAUUGCUCUGCAUACUGGCGGACUCGAGGACGGAAGAGGUUUGUGGAAUUCCUGGUGUAGCGGUGAAAUGCGUAGAUAUCAGGAGGAACACCCAUGGCGAAGGCAGCAAACUGGUCCGUAUCUGACGCUGAGGCGCGAAAGCGUGGGUAGCAAACAGGAUUAGAUACCCUGGUAGUCCACGCCCUAAACGAUGGAUACUAGGCGUGAGAGGUAUCGACCCCUCUCGUGCCGCAGCUAACGCACUAAGUAUCCCGCCUGGGGAGUACGGCCGCAAGGUUGAAACUCAAAUGAAUUGACGGGGACCCGCACAAGCGGUGGAGCAUGUGGAUUAAUUCGAUACUAACCGAAGAACCUUACCCAGACUUGACAUCGAUGGUAAGCAUCUGAAAGGAUGCCCUCCCUCUCAAGGGGACCAGAAGACACUUGUUGCAUGGCUGUCGUCAGCUCGUGCCGUGAGGUGUACGGUUAAGUCCGCCAACGAGCGCAACCCUCGUCCUGUGUUACCAGCAUGAAAGAUGGGGACUCACAGGAGACCGCCGGUGUAAGCCGGAGGAAGGUGGGGAUGACGUCAAGUCAGCAUGGCAGUUACGUCUGGGGCUUCACACAUGCUACAAUGGGCGCAACAGAGGGCCGCGAUACCGCGAGGUGGAGCUAAUCCCAAAAAUACGCCCCCAGUUCAGAUUGCAGUCUGCAACUCGACUGCAUGAAGGCGGAAUCGCUAGUAAACGCAGGUCAGCUAUACUGCGUUGAAUACGUUCCCGGGUCUUGUACACACCGCCCGUCAAGUC